RNAcentral lists this ribosomal RNA (889 nucleotides) under uncultured bacterium. RNAcentral describes it as "bacterial SSU rRNA". It matches the Rfam family "Bacterial small subunit ribosomal RNA", at positions 26 to 885 of the family's 1533-position model. The record is from RNAcentral.
AGGACGAACGCUGGCGGCGUGCUUAACACAUGCAAGUCGAACGAGGAACAUAGAGCUUGCUCUUUGUAACCGAGUGGCGAACGGGUGAGUAACUCGUGACUAACCUGCCUUCGAGAGGGGGAUAACCUGGGGAAACCCGGACUAAUACCGCAUAUAGUCCAAGAGUCUUAUGUCUCAUGGAUAAAAGAGAGCCUCUGCUUGCAUGCUCUCACUCGAAGAGGGGGUCGCGGCGUAUCAGCUAGUUGGUGGGGUAAUGGCCUACCAAGGCGACGACGCGUAGCGGGUCUGAGAGGACGAUCCGUCACAUUGGGACUGAGAUACGGCCCAGACUCCUACGGGAGGCAGCAGUGGGGAAUAUUGCGCAAUGGCCGAAAGGCUGACGCAGCGACGCCGCGUGUGGGAGGAAGCCUUUCGGGGUGUAAACCACUGUCUGGGGGGAAGAACUUCGUGGGUGUUAAUAACACCUACGGUUGACGGUACCCCUAGAGGAAGCGCCGGCUAACUCCGUGCCAGCAGCCGCGGUAAGACGGAGGGCGCAAGCGUUGUUCGGAAUUACUGGGCGUAAAGGGCGGGCAGGCGGUCUGUUAAGUCUUUUGUGAAAAUCCGGAGCUCAACUCCGUGAAAUGCAGAAGAUACUGGCAGGCUGGAGACCGGUAGAGGCUAGCGGAAUUCCUGGUGUAGCGGUGGAAUGCGUAGAUAUCAGGAAGAACACCUGUGGCGAAGGCGGCUAGCUGGGCCGGGUCUGACGCUGAUCCGCGAAAGCGUGGGUAGCAAACAGGAUUAGAUACCCUGGUAGUCCACGCCGUAAACGAUGGGCACUAGAUGCCGGGUAUAUAGACGUAUUCGGUGUCGUAGCUAACGCAUUAAGUGCCCCGCCUGGGGAGUACGG